GUUAGAUUAGUGCCUUCGUGGGCACCUUGUAUAGCAAAGUAGUGUAGAAUAAAGUUUUAGGUCUAAUAACUAUGUACAGAGUAAAACAGUUAUAGUAUCAGAGUGCUACAAGUUUAAAUUAGUUGUGAAGGAGAUACCCUGAUCGGUAUCGAAUUUUCCUGUUUCACUAAGAGGGCUGUCAACUGUCAAGAUUUUAAGAGUCCCAUAAGGCUGUACGAUGUAGCAGGCGGUAAGUAUAUUAACCGAGAGAAAAAGGGAGAGAGUGGCACUGAGGAAACAGAAAUGACAAUAAAUAUCGGGUAAGUGUCAAUCCCUUUUUCUCUCGGUCAUAUACAUGUGGGUUACUGAUAUUGC
Pelobates cultripes (western spadefoot toad) is the source of this 354-nucleotide non-coding RNA. The record is from the annotation of a GenBank genome assembly. Lineage: Eukaryota; Metazoa; Chordata; Amphibia; Anura; Pelobatidae.